GAUGAACGCUGGCGGCGUGCUUAACACAUGCAAGUCGAACGGAAAGGCCCAGCCUUUGUGGGGUGCUCGAGUGGCGAACGGGUGAGUAACACGUGAGUAACCUGCCCUUGACUUUGGGAUAACUUCAGGAAACUGGGGCUAAUACCGGAUAGGAGCACCUGCUGCACGGUGGGGGGUGGAGAGUUUCGGCGGGUGGGGAUGGACUCGCGGCUUAUCAGCUUGUUGGUGGGGUAGUGCCUUACGAAGGCUUUGACGGGUAGCCGGCCUGAGAGGGUGACCGGCCACAUUGGGACUGAGAUACGGCCCGGACUCCUACGGGAGGCAGCAGUGGGGAAUAUUGCACAAUGGGCGGAGGCCGGUUGCGGCACCGCCGGGUGCGGGAUGACGGCCUUCGGGUUGUAAACCGCUUUCGCCUGUGACGAAGCGUAAGUGACGGUAAUGGGUAAAGAAGCACCGGCUAACUACGUG
This 468-nucleotide ribosomal RNA is filed under the name uncultured bacterium. RNAcentral's name for it is "partial 16S ribosomal RNA". It matches the Rfam family "Bacterial small subunit ribosomal RNA", at positions 28 to 507 of the family's 1533-position model. The record is from RNAcentral.